GACGAACGCUGGCGGCGCGCCUAACACAUGCAAGUCGAACGAGCGAGCGAGAGCUUGCUUUCUUGAGCGAGUGGCGAACGGGUGAGUAACGCGUGAGGAACCUGCCUCAAAGAGGGGGACAACAGUUGGAAACGACUGCUAAUACCGCAUAAGCCCACGACCCGGCCUCGGGGUGAGGGAAAAGGAGCAUUCCGCUUUGAGAUGGCCUCGCGUCCGAUUAGCUAGUUGGUGGGGUAACAGCCCACCAAGGCGACGAUCGGUAGCCGGACUGAGAGGUUGAACGGCCACAUUGGGACUGAGACACGGCCCAGACUCCUACGGGAGGCAGCAGUGGGGAAUAUUGCACAAUGGGGGAAACCCUGAUGCAGCGACGCCGCGUGGAGGAAGAAGGUCUUCGGAUUGUAAACUCCUGUUGUUGAGGAAGAUAAUGACGGUACUCAACAAGGAAGUGACGGCUAACUACGUG
RNAcentral lists this ribosomal RNA (466 nucleotides) under uncultured bacterium. Its description in RNAcentral is "partial 16S ribosomal RNA". It matches the Rfam family "Bacterial small subunit ribosomal RNA", at positions 28 to 507 of the family's 1533-position model. The record is from RNAcentral.